CCUACGGGGGGCAGCAGUGGGGAAUAUUGCACAAUGGGGGAAACCCUGAUGCAGCGACGCCGCGUGAGUGAAGAAGUAAUUCGUUAUGUAAAGCCCUAUCAGCAGGGAAGAAAAUGACGGUACCUGAGCAAGUAUCUCCGGCCAACUACGUGCCAGCAGCCGCGGUAAUACGCAGGGGCCAAGCGUUAUCCGGAUUUACUGGGUGUAAAGGGAGCGUAGACGGCUGUGCAAGUCUGGAGUGAAAGGCGGGGGCUCAACCCCCGGACUGCUCUGGAAACUGUACGGCUGGAGUGCAGGAGAGGUAAGUGGAAUGCCUGGUGUAGCGGUGAAAUGCGUAGAUAUUAGGAGGAACACCGGCGGCGAAGGCGGCUUACUGGACUAUGACUGACGUUGAGGCUCGAAAGCGUGGGGAGCAAACAGGAUUAGAUACCCUUGUAGUC
RNAcentral lists this ribosomal RNA (440 nucleotides) under uncultured bacterium. RNAcentral's name for it is "partial 16S ribosomal RNA". It matches the Rfam family "Bacterial small subunit ribosomal RNA", at positions 338 to 795 of the family's 1533-position model. The record is from RNAcentral.